This 253-nucleotide ribosomal RNA is filed under the name uncultured bacterium. RNAcentral describes it as "partial 16S ribosomal RNA". It matches the Rfam family "Bacterial small subunit ribosomal RNA", at positions 524 to 776 of the family's 1533-position model. The record is from RNAcentral.
UACGAGAGGCCCAAACGUUAUUCGGAAUUACUGGGCUUAAAGAGUUCGUAGGCGGCGCGGAAAGUAGGGUGUGAAAGCCCUCGGCUUAACCGAGGAAUUGCGCUCUAAACUACCGUGCUUGAGGAACCUAGAGGUGAGCAGAACAGAUGGUGGAGCGGUGAAAUGCGUUGAUAUCAUCUGGAAUACCGGAGGCGAAGGCGGCUCACUGGGGGUUUUCUGACGCUGAGGAACGAAAGCCAGGGUAGCGAACGGG